RNAcentral lists this non-coding RNA (29 nucleotides) under Mus musculus (house mouse). The record is from RNAcentral. Lineage: Eukaryota; Metazoa; Chordata; Mammalia; Rodentia; Muridae.
CAGAUAGGUAUAGCUUCUCGAGGCUCAGC